Molecule: ribosomal RNA, 253 nt
Filed under: uncultured bacterium
Lineage: Bacteria
Description: partial 16S ribosomal RNA
Rfam family: Bacterial small subunit ribosomal RNA
Source: RNAcentral
GACGAAGGGGGCUAGCGUUGUUCGGAAUUACUGGGCGUAAAGCGCGCGUAGGCGGUCUUUCAAGUCAGGAGUGAAAGCCCCGGGCUCAACCCGGGAAUAGCUCUUGAUACUGUUGGACUUGAGUCCGGGAGAGGAUAGUGGAAUUCCCAGUGUAGAGGUGAAAUUCGUAGAUAUUGGGAAGAACACCAGUGGCGAAGGCGGCUAUCUGGACCGGUACUGACGCUGAGGCGCGAAAGCCAGGGGAGCAAACGGG